CCUACGGGGGGCAGCAGUGAGGAAUAUUGGUCAAUGGGCGUAAGCCUGAACCAGCCAAGUCGCGUGAGGGAUGAAGGCCCUAUGGAUCGUAAACCUCUUUUAUAAGGGAGUAAAGUGCGGGACGUGUCCCGGUUUGUAUGUACCUUAUGAAUAAGCAUCGGCUAACUCCGUGCCAGCAGCCGCGGUAAUACGGAGGGUCCGAGCGUUAUCCGGAUUUAUUGGGUUUAAAGGGUGCGUAGGCGGCCUUUUAAGUCAGCUGUGAAAGUCUGUGGCUCAACCCUCGAAUUGCCGUUGAAACUGGGAGGCUGGAGUAUGUGUGAGGAAGGCGGAAUGCGUGGUGUAGCGGUGAAAUGCUUAGAUAUCACGCAGAACCCCGAUUGCGAAGGCAGCCUGCC
RNAcentral lists this ribosomal RNA (395 nucleotides) under uncultured bacterium. RNAcentral's name for it is "partial 16S ribosomal RNA". It matches the Rfam family "Bacterial small subunit ribosomal RNA", at positions 338 to 730 of the family's 1533-position model. The record is from RNAcentral.